This 17837-nucleotide long non-coding RNA is filed under the name Gossypium barbadense (sea-island cotton). RNAcentral describes it as "long non-coding RNA (GBAR_LNC002707)". Lineage: Eukaryota; Viridiplantae; Streptophyta; Magnoliopsida; Malvales; Malvaceae. The record is from RNAcentral.
UUAUUGAUUUCAUAUUGCUUGCUGUCCAUAUUUUUUUAUAUAUAUAUGUAUUAUAUUUUAUUCAUACAUUUGUUUCUUUUAAAUCCCAUUUUAAAGUAUACCUCGGUCUUCAAAAUAUUUUCUUAUGUUAUUUUGCAUAUAUAUUCAAUUUAAAUUAUGCCUUUUUACUUUAUAUGCAUAUCUUCUGAUCCUGUUAUGAUUUAGUCGUAUUAUAUUGUUGCAUUAGAUUAUUGUUAUAUAUUUCACAAUGGCAUACCUGUUUCCUUAUAUGGUAUAACGACUCAAAUUUAAACUCACUUAAGCUAGCUCUUAGUUUUUUCGUUUUUUUCAAAAAAUAAAUUAAAUAAAUACAUUUUUUAAUUGACUUUAGAUCGUUUUCGAAAGUCUUAUAAAACAAGGCAAUGUUUCGCGUUUGGAAGUCCGAAAGAGUCAUGCCCUAACGUACUGGGUUGUGGUUUUUUUCGGUCAUCUAAAUGUUUAAAUAUCCUUCUAGUCUCAGGUUUCGGAAAAUUAAGGGACUAUUUGGGUCUUGAGGGUUAAAAUGUUGCAUCCUAACGUGUUCGGUGUGACAUUUUGUCCUUUUGGAACAAAUAAGCCUUAAUAUCCCAAAACGAACCGUUCAAAUAUUUUCUAAAAGAAUUAUAUUUUAAAAUCUCUUAAAAUUUUCAACAAUAAGGACAUUAUUAAUCAAUUUGGUACUGAUUUUGGGCGUUACGAGGGUGCUAAUCCUUCCUCGUACGUAAUUGAUUCCCAAACCUGUUUUCUUAACAUUCGUAGACCAAAAUGUUUUAUAAGGUGACCCAAUUACACCUCAAAAAGGAUUGGUGGCGACUCCAUCCAUGUUUUUAAAGUCGAUCCACGUUUUAAAAUUAAAAAUGCUUUUGACAACUUGGCGACUCCACUAGGGACCUUAACAGAGAGUCAAGCCGUAAAAUUGAUUAAUUUCUGUCCUUUUAUCGAAAAUGGAAAUUGUGUUUUGAAAUUAUUUUUUCUUCCGUCACAUUUGUUAGUAUCAUUUUUAUUUUCUCUUAUAUUAUUCCUGCAUCAUACUGCAUGUCCGUUGUGGUCGCACCCUUAAGUGGGAGUGAGAAGCUAUGCCUUCGUGAGGUUUUCACCUCUGCAUGGGCUAGUGGAUCGCCUCCGGGAUAUAUCCGUACCUAUGGUUUCGUGAGUUUUUCACCUCCGCAUGGUCAUAGGGAAAUGUAUCCCCCUGAACUGAACUUGAUCCAUAUGAACCUAUAAUGGGUGAGGAUCAAGGAACCUGCUGGUUCAGGUACCCUUUCCUUAGAACUGAACCGCAUAUAGUAACCUUUAGGGACCUACCCUAAGUAGAGCCAUGCCAAAUUCUAGUGAUUACCCAAAUAGGUUUUUGAUUAUUUCUUGCUUGCUUUGAUUUUUAUUAUUUGAUACUAACUUAUUGUGUUUUAUUUUUGCCAUGAUUGCAUGUCAUUUCAUAUCUAGGAAGGUGUCAAUACCUGUUCGAUUACUAAGUUAGAGAGCUUGUCAUGGAGAGUGGACUUCUUGAUAAAGUGGGGGAUAACGCGGUUGUCCGUGCAUGGUCAGAGAAUGCUCAGCUCGAGAAAGGGGAUAGCCUGGCCGAGGGGUAUGCGUCGGAGUUGUGGGACUUCACCCGUAUUAGUGUGACACAGAAUGAGCUCCAAGAAUUGAGGGAUAUAUGGGCCCGCUGGAAUGACGAGACCAAGAAAUUAUUCUACUACAACUACGGUGAUCUGCCUUACCUGCUCGACAUUAAGGUAGACAAGUACUUGUUUCGAGCUAUGACUCAGUUCUGGAACCCCGCAUAUAGUUGUUUCACCUUCGGGAAAGUGGACUUGGUGCCAACCGUGGAGGAGUAUUCAGCCCUGUUACGUUGUCCAAGGUUUCAAACGGACAGAGUGUAUGUUAAGGUCCCCAAUGUACCAAGUUUUGUAAAGAAGCUAAUGAACGUCACUGGGAUGAGUGAGCAGCGGGUUACAGCCCGGAUUAAACAAAAAGGUGAGGGGAAAUGCAUUCAUUGGGUGAACUUGAGAGACUUGAUCCUGGCACAUCCAGAUGCAAAAAAAAGGUUGACGUUUUCGCCUUGAGUAUUUAUGGGUUAGUGAUAUUUCCUAAAGCGUUACGACAUAUCGACGAAGCAGUCACUGAUUUAUUUGAUCGACUUGUCAAGUGGGCUACACCGGUACCAGCAAUUCUAGCAGAGACAUUCAGAUCUUUAAAUGUGUGUCGAAGGGUAGGUGAACGAAUAUUCGUGGGAUGCGCGUAAUUAUUAUUGGUUUGGUUCCAUGGCCACUUUUGGAAAGUUCACAGAAGGCUGAAUCGAGCUUUUUUUAAAAAAUUAUUCCCCUUUGAAAGAGAUAACAGCUACGCCCAUGAGGGACGACAUAUCAAAAGAAAGGUGGAUGACAAUUCUCCAAAAUCUCCAAGAAAAAGACGUGGAAUGGAAGGCCCCUUGGAUGGUUCCCGAUGAAGUCCUCUACCGGUGCGGAAAUUUUGAUUGGGCACUUCUGCUUGGAGUUUGGGAAACUGUUGGGUAUGCCCCUUUACUGGUGUUAAGGCAGUAUGAGUUAGAGCAAUUUGUACCUGCGACACAUGGGUUAGCUCAUAGUGAAUUUUUGUAUAAAUGGGAUAAUUAUAAGAAGAGAUUUCGAGAAAUCGCCAAUGCCUGGAAACAGACACACCGAAUGAAGAAGUUGAUUGGAUGCCCAAUGACGACUCCUGAGUACAGUAGGUGGUUGAGUAAGAGGAUCAAUGAUAAUAUUCUGAGGCCAAGUCUAGAAGACGUCCAAUCGAUGGAAGAACACUUACGAAUAAUUCCUUCCGAGCUGGAAAUUAUAAAACAAGAGUUCAAAAGGAGAAAUUCAGAGUUAGGAAAGAAGAUAGAACAGUUGGAGGAAGAGAAGAUGCAUCUAAGGUUAGAUAUCGAUGUUUAGAAACUUGAGGCUGAGAAACUGCAAAAGGGGAAAAGAAAAGCUGAGGAGGACUUGGAGCUUUGAAGACCGAUUACCGCAGCUACAUAAGUCAAUGAGAAAUGCUAGACUGGGAAAGAUGUCAGAGCAAUGGCGACAAGAGGUCCAAGAGGAAAGGUCUAAAGCCGAACAAUGGGAAAAAAGAUUUCAUGAUACUUGUGCACGAGAGAGCAUCUUAAAAAAGAGUUUGGUUGAAAGCCAGAAUGAAAAAGAAAUGUUAAGAGCUCGAGUAGAGGAGUUAGAGAUGGCGCUUCAUCAAUCUCGUAGUCGCAACUCUGCAAUAGAGCUGAAGGCAAGCUUAAAUAGGAUCGAGGAUUUGAGAGGGAAGAUAGAAUAACUUGAGACCAUACUUCAGAAUCGUGAACUUCAAAUUCAACUUCUUGAGUCAGAUAAUGAGCAUUGAAAAGAGCUACUACAUAGAUUUCAGAACCAGGUCAAGGACAAAGAUCACAUCAUGGGUGAGGCCGUGGCUCAGAUUCGAAAGGUAGCGGAGCAUUUGCAAACUCUAGCAGUUCAAGCUGACGUGUUGAGUGUAAAGUAUGAAUUAGAGUCAGAUCGAAGUCGAGAGCUAGCUAGGCUUCUCGAGAGAGUUAAAACUUUGGGCAUAAGGGCUAGGCUGUAUAUAUAACCCGUUUUAUGUAAAGUUUUCUGUUUUCUAAUAAAGUUCUUUUAAAAGAAAUUGAAUCAGAAUUGACGCAUUUUUAGUUUUGCAUUCAUUUCAUACAUUUACAUCACAUCGCAUCAUAUUCAUUAAGUUACACAAAAGAACCCUAUUAAUUAGUGAUAAUUUAUCUAGUUACCCUGGAACAUCGCUACUAUACACGGAGGAAAACAAGGGAUAUGGAUCAGAGGUUAGAGAAAUUAGAAUAAAGGCAGGAGCAACUGCAAGCUCAGAUGCAAGAACAGCUGGCUAGGAUCCAGCAGGAGAUGAAGGAUCAAAUGCUAGAGUCCUAGAAAAACAUGCUGGAGUCACAGAACAACAUGAUGAGCCAGCUAACAUAGCUGUUGAAUGGGGGUCUGACAAAGGAAAAUGCCAUAUGGGUGAUAGUGGGGACGACAAUGAAGACUCCACAUAUCCUCCUAGAUUUGCCCCAGCAAGUGCCCAACCACCCAAGAUGUCUGUUAAUAUUAGACCUCAGUAUCAAUCUGGUACUUCAGCACUAGGGAAUCUCCCAACAGGCUCAAGUUCUAAUCCGGACGAUAAUUUGGCAAAACCAACUGUCCCCGACCUCGACGAUGUUGAAGAAAAGGAAAAAGCAAGGGCUGAGCUCCCAAAACAAUUCGAAGACCGUUGCAAGUGGUUAGAGGAGAGGUUCAAGGCAUUAGAAGGUACAAAUUAUUAUUGCGGGGUUGAUGCUAAGGAAUUGAGUUUGGUACCGGACUUAGUACUCUCUCCGAAAUUCAAGAUGCCAGAAUUUGAAAGGUAUAAUGGAACCAGCUGCCCGGAGGCUCACAUUACAAUGUUCUACCGGAGAAUUACGGGGUAUGUCAACAAUGAUCAGCUGUUGAUUCACUAUUUUCAGGAUAAUUUGAUUGGGGCUGCGGUGAAAUGGUACAAUCAGUUAAGUUGUACCCAAAUCAAAUCGUGGAAAGACUUAGCUCAGGCCUUCAUGAAACAAUAUGGCCAUGUAACAGAUAUCGCGCCUGACAAGAUCACGUUACAAAACAUGGAGAAGAAACCGGGUGAAAGUUUUAGGAAGUACGCCCAGAGGUGGAGGGAAGUUGCCAUACAAGUUCAACCACCACUGCUGGAAAAAGAAACGACCAUACUGUUUAUCAAUACAUUGAAGGCACCUUUCAUCAAUCAUAUGCUGGGAAGCGCAACUAAGAGUUUCACAGACAUAGUGAUGUCAGGCGAAAUGAUAGAAAAUGCGAUAAGAUGUGGGAAGAUAGAAACAGGGGAAAGCACAAGAAGGUCAGCCCCAAAGAAAAGAGAAAAUGAGGUAGGUAAUGUGAGCUCAGGGUAUUCAAAACCUGUCACGGUUAACCAAUCGAGAACGAUAGCCACAGGCCAACAGGCCGCACCAAGGCGAGAGCCUAACACAAGACAGAAUACAGAGAGGUUCCAGUUCACUCCCAUACCAGUGACGUAUAGGGAGCUCUAAAAAAAGUUAUUUGAUGCACACGUAGUGGCCCUUUUUCACUUAAAACUGUUACAACCCCCAUACCCUAAAUGAUAUGAUGCAAAUGCUCAGUGCGAAUACCAUGCGGGGAUUACAGGGCACUCGAUAGAAAAUUGUACCUCGUUCAAAAAGUGUGUAGAAAGGCUUAUCAAAGCAGGUGUUGUAAAAUUCGAUGAUACACCUGGUACGGAAAAUCCGUUGCCCAGUCAUACUGAUAAAGGGGUAAAUGCGAUAAUUGAGAAUAUGGGGAGGAAAGUCAAGCUGAAUAUCGCGGAGGUGAGAACCCCAUUGAAGCUAGUUUGGAAGGAAAUACAGAAGAGAGGUUUAGUCCCGCAGGAGUUGAGGGAUAAAAUCCAAGAUACACGAAAUUACUGUGAGUUCCAUCAUGAGAAAGAUCACGAGAUCCAGAAUUGUAUUGAGUUCAGGGCCCUAGUACAAGGUCUAAUGGAUAAUAAGGAAUUGGAAUUCCUCGAGUCUAUCGAAGAGAAGGAUGUAUGCUCUCCAGGAGGAGAGUCGAGUGAAGAAGGCUGCAGAGCCAGCCGUCCAGUGAUAAUUAUUUCGAAACCCAGAGUUAGUGAAGUAGAAGCAAAAGUUACACCAAGAGUUAUAAUCCAGAAGCCAACAGUUUCCCCUUAUAAAGAUAGUCAUAGAGUGCCUUGGAAUUAUAAUUGUAGUAUAACAGUUGCAGAGAAGGAGGGUUCGAUUAACACACCAAACACAGAAGUCGAACCAGUAAAAGGGAAACCCGUCAUGCUCAAGCAAGAAGUAGAGAGAUUAGAACCACUAGUUAAUGAGCCAGUAAUGUUAAAUGAAGCCAAAGAGUUCUUGAAGUUCCUAAGACACAGCGGGUAUAGUGUUGUGGAACAACUACACCAGCAACUGGAUCGCGUAUCGAUUUUGGCUCUGCUGUUAAAUUCGGAGGUCCACCGUAACGCAUUAAUGAAAGUGUUGAACGAAACCUAUGUUGCGGAUGACAUUUCGGUUAACAAACUGGAUCGUCUUGUCGGCAGCAUAAGUGCUGACAAUUUUAUCUCCUUCAGCAAUGAUGAGAUACCAUCAGAGGGUAAGGGGUCUACUAAGGUUCUGCAUAUCACUACACGUUGCAAGGGGUAUACGCUACCCGGAGUACUAGUUGAUAAUGGGUCUGUAUUGAAUGUGUUGCCUUGGGUUACGUUAAACCGUUUACCUAUAGACAAUUCCCAUAUUAAGACGUGUCAGAACAUAGUAAGAGCAUUUGAUGGCACAGAAAAAAAGGUAAUGGGAAUGAUAGAGGUACCUCUUCAGAUUGGCCCAAACGCGUACGAGGUAGAUUUCCUCGUGAUAAAUAUUAAGCCUUCCUAUAACUGUCUAUUAGGAAGACCUUGGAUUCACUCAGCUGGGGCAGUGCCAUCCUCGCUGCACCAGAAGCUAAAGAUGGUUACUGGGGGUCGGCUAAUAACAAAAAAAAUCCGGAGGAGGACAUUAUUGCGUCAGUUACCAGUGAUGCACCCUACGUAGAGAAUGACAACGAAGCGGUUGAAUGUUUAUUUCGAUCGUUAGAGUUUGUAAAUGCAAUGUUUAUAGCUGAUGGAAGCAGGAUUCUGAUACCUAAGAUGUCAGGUGCUACGAAAAUGAGCCUGCAGCUCAUAGUUGGGAAAGGGGCGUUACUUGGUAAAGGACUCGGGAGGCACCUCCGUGGACAAGUUAGAGUGUCAGCCUUGGUUGGCAAGUGGGAUCGUUUCGGUUUUGGAUUCAGGCCAGAUGCAAGCCAAGUGAAGAAGGAGUUUGAAAGGAAACAAGAACAGCGGAGAGUAAGAUUGAGUGGGAUAGAAGUCAGGUGGGAACCGAUGAGCUUCCCCCACAUUUUCCAAACAUUUGUAUUAGGAAGAUUUAUUCAUUCUGCACCGGAGAGGAUAAAAGAAGGAAUGGUCGAGGAUGUGAUAGGAAUUUGGAACAUCAACGCCAUGUUUGAAGAGGAAGCAAUGGAAAGGAAUUUAUCGAGCAUUUGCCCGUAUGAGCCUGGGAGUGUUUUGAAUAACUGGACUGUGGAAGAAAUUCCUAUAAUCUUUAGAGCUAACACAGGGUAAUAUUCAAAACCCACUUGUUGUCUUCUAGCCUAGAGACAAUAAGAAUCUUUUGUGAAAUAGGCUCAUGUUUAAACAUUAUUAUUUUUAAUAAAAAAUGCAUUACAUAUAUCAGUUCGAGCAAUUAUUUUUUCUUCCUUUUCAUUUCAUAAACAAUCAUAACAUACAAAUGACUUAUUCAUUUCGUUUUCUUUGGGUAUUCCCUUAUACUCAUAAUAGGCCCCCAGAUGUCAACUUCAUGAGUAAUGCUGAUACGAGCCCGGAAUUUCCUUUCAAGCGAGACAUGUGCUUUGAGGGACUUCAGGAUUUUUUAGAGGACGAGGAUUGUAGUUUAUCUCCCGAUUUGUUAAGGAUAGUGGAGCGAGAAGAAGAGCAGAUCCUGCCACACAAAGAUACUACUGAGAUUGUGGCCCUGGAAAAAGGGAGGGAAGUUAAAAUUGGCACUUGCGUUAAUGAGAAAACAAAACAGAACCUUAUUGAGCUGUUGCAAGAAUUCAAGGACGUCUUUGCAUGGUCAUAUCAGGAUAUGCCUGGUUUAAGUACCGAUAUCGCAGUACACCGUGUCCCUACAAAAAAGGAGUACAAGCUAGUUUAGUAGAAGCUCCGAAGGAUGAGACCCGAUGUAGCAAUGAAAAUAAAGGAAGAAGUCAAGAAGCAGUUUAAUGCUGGACACCUACACGUGGUCAAUUAUUCAGAAUGGGUGGCCAAUGUCGUCCCUGUCCCUGAGAAAGAUGGGAAAGUACGGAUGUGUGUAGAUUACAGAGAUUUAAAUAAGGCCAGCCCAAAGGAUAACUUUCCAUUGCCUCACAUAGACACUCUAGUAGAUAAUACGGUAGGCUAUUCACUGUUCUACUUUAUGGAUGGGUUCUCUGGGUACAAUUAAAUUAAGAUGCAUCCUGAGGAUAUGGAAAAAACCACAUUCAUAACUUUAUGGGGAACGUUUUGCUACAAGGUGAUGCCCUUCGGGUUAAAAAAUACAGGAGCCACAUACCAAAGAGCCAUGGUAACCUUGUUUCAUGACCUGAUGUACAAGGAAAUUGAGGUCUACGUUGAUGAUAUGAUUGCAAAAUCCCGAACUGAAGAGGAGCAUGUGCGAGUGUUGAGAAAAUUGUUCCUGAGGAUGAGGAAAUUCCAAUUAAAGCUCAAUCCGUCAAAAUGCACAUUCGGAGCUAGGUCCGAAAAGUUACUCGGCUUCGUAGUCAGUGAGAAAGGAAUAGAAGUCGACCCUGAUAAAGUCAAGGCUAUUCAGGAGCUGUCACCGCCACGAACUCAGAAAAAAGUUCGAGGUUUUCUAGGGAGACUAAACUAUAUCGCACGAUUUAUUUCGCAAUUGACUGAGAAGUGUGACCCCAUAUUCCGUUUUCUUAAAAAGCAUAAUCCUGGGGUAUGGGAUAAUGAAUGCCAAAAAACCUUUAAAAAGAUUAAAUAAUAUUUGUCCAGUCCUCCAAUGCUAACACCACCAAGCCCUGGUAAACCAUUGAUACUGUACUUAACAGUAUUUGAUAAUUUGAUGGGGUGUGUGCUCCGCCAACACGAUGAGACUGGGAGAAAAGAAAGAGCUAUAUAUUACCUCAGUAAAAAAUUCACUGAGUGUGAAAUGAGGUAUCUGCCAGUUGAGAAGCUAUGCUGUGCUUUGGUUUGGACAACACGAAGGUUGAGGCAAUACAUGUUGUACCAUACAACUUGGCUAAUCUCAAAGUUAGACCCUCUCAAAUACAUGAUGGAAUCAACCACUUUAAAUGGAAGGAUGGCCCGAUGGCAGAUUCUGCUCUCUGAAUUUGAUAUAGUCUAUGUAAACCAAAAAGCUGUGAAGGGGAGUGCAAUAGCAAACUUCCUAGCCAUUAGAGCUUUGGAGGACUAUGAACCUUUGAAUUCCAGUUUCCCCAAUGAAGAUCUAAUGUAUGUAGCAAUCGCUGAAGGAGACAUGUCUGAAGAUCAUUCUUGGAAAUUAAAUUUUGACGGAGUAUCAAAUGCCGUUGGAAAUGGAGUUGGGACAGUACUAAUAUCCCCAAAUGGAGACCAUUAUCCAUUCACUUGUAAGCUGGAUUUUGAAUGCACAAACAACAUGGCAGAAUACGAGGCAUGUAUCAUGGGAAUUCGGGUAGCUAUAGACCGCGAAAUCAAAGUAUUAGAAGUGUAUGGAGAUUCCGCAUUGGUAAUUUAUCAGUUUAAAGGUGAGUGAGAAACGAGAGAUCCCAAAUUGAUCAGUUACCGAAAGUUAAUCCUGGAGUUAAUUGAAGAGUUUGAUGAUAUUACCUUUCAUUACCUCCCGCGAGACGAGAAUCAGAUGGCUGACGCCUUGGCUACACUGGCUUCCAUGAUCAAAGUAAAUAAACAGGAGGAUAUGAAGCCAAUUCAAAUGAGUAUCUGUGAGGCUCCGGCUCACUGCUGUAAUAUCGAUGAAGAGGAAGAGAGAGAUGAUCAUCCUUGGUAUCAUGAUAUCUUACAAUAUGUGAAGAGCCGUGCGUACUCAGAUCAAGCAACCGAAAAUGAUAAAAGAAUAUUGAGGAGGUUAGCCAGUGACUAUGUCCUGGACGGUGAGGUCCUAUAUAAGAAAAGAAAGGAUCAGGUGUUGCUAAGAUGUGUUGACGCUGUUGAGGUAAAGAAAAUUCUAGAGGAAGUCCAUGAUGGCAUCUGUGGGACGCAUGCCAAUGGUUUUACAAUGGCUCGACAAAUCAUGAGAUUCGGAUAUUACUGGUCCACAAUGGAAGGAGAUUGCAUCAAUUACGCUAAGAAGUGCCAUAAGUGUCAAAUUUAUGGAGACAAGAUCCAUGUCCCUUCUUCACCCCUCCAUGUUAUGACUUCCCCAUGGCCAUUCUCAAUGUGGGGUAUGGACGUCAUUGGGCCAAUUUCGCCAAAGGCUUCCAACGGACAUCGAUUCAUUUUUGGGGUCAUUGACUACUUUACCAAAUGGGUGGAGGCUGCUUCGUACGCCAAUGUCACAAAGUCGGUGGUCAGCAAGUUCUUGAAGAAGGAGAUCGUAUGUCGUUAUGGUAUGCCAGAAAGAAUCGUAUCUGACAACGCAUUGAAUCUGAACAAUAGCGCAAUAGCAGAAGUCUGCAGUCGGUUCAACAUUAAACAUCACAACUCGUCGACAUACCGCCCAAAAAUGAAUGGGGCGGUUGAGGCAGCCAAUAAGAAUGUCAAGAAGAUUGUAGGGAAAAUGGCGGAGACCUACAAAGAUUGGCAUGAAAAGCUCCCAUUUGCCCUUUAUGCUUAUCGGACAUCUGUCAGAACUUCUACCGGGGUAACACCUUUCUCAUUGGUUUAUAGGAUGGAGGCAGUUUUACCUAUUGAGGUCGAAAUCCCUUCUCUCUGAUUUUUAUUAGAGUUGAAGUUAGACGAAGCAGAAUGAAUCAAAUCUCGUUACGAUCAACUAAACUUGAUUGAAGAGAGGAGGCUGAAGGCUAUUCGUCAUGGUCAAAUGUACCAGAGGAGAAUGAUGCGAGCUUACAACAAAAAAGUUCGCCCUAGGGUGUUCCAUGAAGGGGACUUAGUAUUGAAAAAGAUUCUCCCUAUGCAAAAAGAUUUCAGGGGGAAAUGGAUGCCAAAUUGGGAAGGACCCUAUGCGGUAAAAAAAGGCUUUCACUAGAGGGGCAUUGAUACUAGCAGAGAUGAAUGGCAAGAGCUUGCCUAACCCGAUAAAUUUGAAUUCUGUCAAAAGAUAUUUUGCUUUAAGCAGUUGAGGUGAAAACCCGUAAAGGGCGCCAAAAAAAAUAAAAAAAAAUAAAAUAAAAAAGAAAAAAGGGAGAGGCCAAGGUGAAAACCCGUAAAAGGGCGCUUUGAAACAAAAGGGGUUUUGAAUUGAAAACCCAUAAAGGGCAAUUCAAAAAUUGAUCCAGACUGGGGCAAGUAGUAGUCUCGUUACACUAGAAUCGACAAAGAAGGGAUCGACUACAUUUUGGGGCAUCGACAAAUGCUAUAGAUCCCUUGAGCACAUGUCAAGUGUAGAAUGGUCUUCGAGUAGUUUGUUCAGAGAAGCUCAAACUGCGAAAUCUGGAGCACCUAUUUGUUCUUUUUAUCCAUUUUUUUUUCAAAUAAUCAAUGCUUUCUUUCUUUAGUACAUCUUUCGUAAGCUAGAACUCGAACAAAUUUCAGUUCCAUUUACCCUUAUGAUCUUUUUCAAGCGUUUUAUAUUGAAAUAAUGAUUAAUGAACUAACAAUGUUCUCAAAAGAGGUUUUACGUAUUACUUUGAAAGAUUUCUAAACAAUACAAGAUUCUGAAAUAGGACAAUUAUUUAAAACUCACCAGGCUUAAAGAGCUAGAAACGUGUGAAGGAAAAAGGGACUUACAGUAUCCUCAAGCCCUCUUUUAUCAAGCUGGAUGAGAAGGCAUACGUCAAGGAUGUUACCAUAGCAAACAACGAGCGAUAACAGCCUAAAAAUUUAAAUGAUCAUUCUCAUGACAUUUUGCAUUUAUGCAUUUAAAUAUCCAUAAGACAUCUAGUUAGGAGCAUUUGAUUAAUCAUGGCAUCCUAAACAUCUAGCAUAAGCAUAAAAUCACUAUUCUACAGAUAGGAUCCCCUAGCGGACAAUGUAGCAGGAUUGAUUAAAAAGACAGAUAUCAUCAGCCUUAUCUUUACUGAGCAGGAGUGGAGCAGGUUAAACAUACCCGAUCUUAUCUUCACUGAGCAGGAGUGAAGCAGAUCGAGUUUUGAAGAAUCUUAUCUCCACGUACCGGCGAUGGAGCAGAUUCCAAUCAUCAACCUUAUCUUCACUGAGUAGGAGUGGAGCAGGCUAAAUAUACCAGAUCUUAUCUUCAUUGAGCAAGAGUGAAGCAGAUCGAAUUUUGGAGAAUCUUAUCUCCACGUACCGGCGAUGGAGCAGAUUCCAAUCAUCAACCUUAUCUUCACUGAGCAUGAGUGGAGUAGGCUAAAUAUACCAGAUCUUAUCUUCAUUGAGCAGGAGUGAAGUAGAUCGAAUUUUGGAGAAUCUUAUCUCCAUGUACCGGCGAUGGAGCAGAUUCCAAUCAUCAACCUUAUCUUCACUGAGCAGGAGUGGAGCAGGCUAAAUAUACCAGAUCUUAUCUUCAUUGAGCAAGAGUGAAGCAGAUCGAAUUUUGGAGAAUCUUAUCUCCACGUACCGGCGAUUAAAUAGAUUCCAAUCAUCAGCUUUAUCUUCGCUGAGCAGGAGUGGAGCAGGCUAAAUAUACCAGAUCUUAUCUUCGCUGAGCAGGAGUGGAGCAGACCAAAUUUCGGUGAAUCUUAUCUCCAUGGAUCGACAAUGGAGCAGAUUUCAGCCACCAAUCUUAUUUUCACUAAGCAGGAGUGGAGCAGAUCAGAUUUCAGCAGAUCCCACCCCACUGAACAGGAAUGGAAUGGAUCAAGUUUCAAUAAAUCGUAUAUCUACAAAGCAGUAAUGAAGCAUUUGGAAGUAAUAGGAUGCAAUGGGUUAAAACGAGGCUACUUGAAGAAAAGAGGCAAUCAAGAAGUCAAGACAUGAUGGGGCCAGGAAAAAUUGGCCCUUCUAAGUCUUUGCUCUAUUCUCUUUACACGACAAUGAGCAAAGAGGGGCAGCUGUUGGACCAAUUUUCUUUGCCUAGCCCACUAAUCAAACCCAUUAACCACUAGCCCAAUCCUAUAACCCAAAACAGGCCAAAACCAAAACAAAAUCCACCCCAAAUACCCCCAUCCCCACGUGCCUCCACCAUCCACUGCACCUCCGAGACGUGUGCUGUAAUAUCCUGAAUUAGGGCCUAAUCGGAAUAGUGGUUUCGUGACCACAAAUAUGAGAUAGAAAUAAUUAUUUUAUAAUUAUUUUGAUGAUUAUGAUAGGAUUGCAUGAUUGUGUGAAAAUUUCGUGAUGAAAUUCUAUGCCUAAAGUGCUUAAAUUGAAAGUAGGGACUAAAUCGAAUAAGUUGCAAAACUUGCAUUCUAGAAGUUUUUAGUAUGAAAUUGUUUUGGAAUAUUAAUGAGGAGGUAUUAAAUAGCAAUUUGACCAAUUUUAAGUUCAUGGACAAAAUUAGGAUAUGGAAGGAAUUUUUGGAAAGUUUAGUAGUAAGGGUAUUUUGGUCAUUUAGUUAUUAAAAUGAAUUAAAAACAAAAUUAAAAGCCAAUUUUUGUCCAUCUUCUUCAUUAGGCCGAAAUUUCAAGGGUUCUCCAUAGCUAGGGUUUGUUUCAAGCUUCCAAGCUCCAUAGUAAGUGAUUCCAAGCCCCGUUUUUAAUGUUCUUUACGUUUUUGGAAUCCCGGUAGCUCGAUUAAGCUUAUGUUAGCAAUAAUUCAACCUAGGGUUUAUAUUUGGAAAAAUACCCAUAGGUGAAAUUUGUGUAUUUUGAUGUUUUAUGAUAGAAUAUGGGGUUUUAAAUUAUGUUAAACAACUUGUGCUACUCGGUUUUUAGUGAAAACGAGUAAAAGGGCUUAAUCGGCAAAAAUACCUAAUAGUCACAAGUAUAUGUUAGAGAGAGAAUUUGAUGUUGCCAUAGAAGGGAAAAGUGAUCAGCAUGUUAUAAAACAUAAGAAUAAGGAAUAAAGUUUAAUUCCCGAGCCUAGGGGCAAAAGUGUAAUUAUGCAAAAGUUUAAGGGCAAAAGUGUAAUUUUUCCAAAGUUCGUAUUAAAUGCUGUUUUGAUGAAUGUAUGUAUUAAAUAAGAUUAAUUUGGCAUCAUAGAUCAAGAGAAACGAGAUUCAAGUCGCGAUCGAGGAAAAGAAAAGAUUGUGGACUAAAUUGCAAAAUCUUUAUAUUUUGGUACCAAGGUAAGUUCAUGUGUAAAUAAUGUAGCAUAAUUUUUAUUUUUAAGUUAUUGAUAUUAAUUAUGUGUUAUGCUGAAUUUCAUUAUGAAAUGUAUGCUUUGUGGUUAAUUUCAAAUAAUAUGUAAAUUAUGUGAGCUACUUGUUAAAUAUAAUUGUUACCGAGUAUUGAUUUCGGCAUUCUACGGAAGACGGCAAGGAUAAGUGUUCGAGGAAAAUCCCAUUUGAACCUUAGGAAUAGAUUAGGAUACAAGUGACAUGUCACUAGGAUGGUUGAGCAUCCGAACUCGUUGAGUUGAGUCCGAGUUCACUUAUGGAUGCGAAUGUCCGAACUCGUUGAGUUGAGUCCGAGUUCGUGAGAUGUAACUAGGCAUCCGAACUCGUUGAGUUGAGUCCGAGUUCACUUAUGGAUGCGAACGCCCGAGCUCGUUGAGUUGAGUCCGAGUUCGCUUAUGGGCGGGUUACAUGAUUGCUUGAUUGAAUAUGUGGCACUUAUAUGCAAAUUAUCCAUGUAUCCGAAUUAUAUUCCGAUGUGUUCAACGGGUAAAGUUUUACUCAAAUGGAGGAAUACUCGAGAUGAAAAGAGACGUAUUGGUAAGUGAUGAGAAAUGGAUAUUUUGGACAGGUAUGUAUUUAACCCUCGGGUUGAGUGUUGAUUACAACCACGAUAAGGUAAUAAGAUGAUGAAAAAUGAUUAAAAAAUGUGAUAAGUGUGUUGAUGAUAUAUGUUAAUGUUGAUUAGUUUGAUUGUUUGUUAUGUUAUUUAUUAUUUACAUAUGAACUUACUAAGCAUUUAUGCUUACUCCCUCCUUCUUACUCAUUGUAGUUUUGGACAAGCCAGUUCAGGAGUCGGGAUAGGUCGAAGGCUCAGUCACACUAUCCGGAAGAUUUUUGGUAAAUGGCUUGUAAAUUUAAGUAUGGCAUGUAUAACAAUAUACUUAUUUUGUGUAAAUGAUCUUAUGAUAUGGUGACAGAAUGGUUGAGAAAAUAUUUGAUAAUGAUAAAUUAUGAAAAUGGUAAGUUUAGAUUAUGUUUGACGAUAAGGAAAAUUAUUAAGAUACUUAGUGCAUAAAAACUCAUAAGAGGGAUGAAAUUUGCCAUAAACAGAAUACUGCAGCAACACUGACGCGAGUUUGAAAAUUUACUAAAAAUCAUAGAAAUUGAAUUUGGUGAUGGACUACAUAUAAAAUUUAAGCUUGUUAUGUCUAGUUUCACAUGAAACAAAUGAAACAGGUAAAGGAAUUAUAUGUUAGAAGAUAUUUGAAUUUUAGUGAAACAGGGUCAUAGCAGUUUCUGAAUCCUCUGUUCCUACUUUAGAAAUUCACCAUAAAUUGUAAAGCUAUAAUUAGGUGGUUUAUUUUAUAUCCUCAGAAUCCUUAUUGAGUCUAGUUUUAGUAUAAACAAACCUCAUAGUCAUAUGAAUUUUGUACAGAGAGAAAUGUGGUUCGUAGUAAACAGAGGUCAGACCAGUCAAGUCCUGAAAUAGGGGUAACUUUAACUAAUAAACUGUACUAAUUGGCCCUACCAAAAAUUUUAUAAAAAAAUUAGUAGAUAGGUAUAUGAGUCUAGAUUCAGGGAAAAUUUACGGAUCUUGAUUUCGAGUUUCGUAACUCGAGAUAUGAUUUUUCUUGUGACUGUGACGCAAGUAGCUUAAAAGCUGUGAAUGUAGAAACAAAUAAUCCAAAGUUCUAAAAAUGUUAAAUUAAGCUUAGUAACACCUCAUACUCGACUCCGGCGACGGUCUCGGGCGUGGGGGCGUUACAUGCGCUACCAGCAGUCCCUCUUUGUCACGCCUUGUGCUUCCGAGAUAUCCGCAACAACACCUGUAACAGGAAGCAAACAGAUAGCAACCAAUAGAAGAGUUUAUUUGUUUUUCUAGGCUAUAAAAGCCAUUUUAAACAUUGUAAACGGGGCUCUUUCUUUUUUUUUUGCUCAUUAUAUGAGUACACUAGCAGAAAUUAUAGAGAAAAGAUCGGAAGUAAAUCAAAAAUCUAGUCUCAGGAUUGAAAGGUGAUUUUUCAUUCUUCUUCCUGUAACUUUUUUGAUUUGUAUUUUUUCCCUUUUUUUAUUUUGUUUAUAGACUGAUUUUAAGUAAAAAGAAAGAAAGGAGGGCUUACCCGGUCGUGAUCCGUGAACCGGUGAUGAGGUGGAGGUGCGUGGCACCGAUGAUCCUCGAGGGUGGCGCAAACUAGGUUGAACUCCUAGCAAAAAUAGAGAGGGAGCAAGGAAGAAGAAGCAUUCUGCUUCUUUUUUGAAAAACACUAGAAAUAAAAAAUAAAAUUGGUUCUUAAAAAUGGCAGAUGCCAUUCAAUAGCUUUUAGAGUGGUGGGGCCCACAUUUUGCCCUUAAAGGGUCAAUUUAUGCACUAAGUCCUUGUGCAUUUUCUUGCUGCCCAAAUCUGCUUCACUUUUGUUUUUGAAUUUCACCCAGCAAUUUUGUGCAGAUUUUAAUUUGGUCCAUAUUAAAUGCUAGGUUCAAGAAUUUGGGAAAAUUACAUUUUUAAACCCCCUUGUUCCACGCGCGCUCCAAUGAGAUCCUCCCUUCCCCUUUUAUUUAUGUUUUACCCUAGAACUUCCGUUGUGAUUCCAAUUAAGCCCUAUUUUGUUUAUUUUAGACACUUUUAUCACAAAUUUUUUUUUGGUAUUAUUAUUAAUCUAUUAUUACUUUUUUUUACUAUCAUUUUUUAAAUUAUUUUCCUAUUAUUUAUUGUAUUAUUUUUUUACACUAUUAUUUAUUAUGCUUAUUAUAUUAUUUUCAUUAUUUUUUAUUUAUUUUCAUUUAAUUUAAUCAAUUUGAGUUAUGUUUUACAUUAUUAUAUCAUUUUAUAUUACAUGCUUAUUAUAGUUUUUUUUUAGCAAAGUUAAUUAUUUUAUGUAUAAAUCUUCAUCAUAUUUAUUAUAUUAUUUGUUAUAUUAUUAUUUUUUACUAAUAAGUAUUUUUAUACUAUUUAGUUUUUUUAAGCUCAUAAUUUUAAAUAUAGCUUAUUAUACUUCUUAUUUUCUUCAUUAUUUUUACUAUUUACUACCAUUUUUUUAUUACUUAUAACUUAUAUAUAUACAUUUUUUUCCCCUAAAAGUUUUUUUCCUUCAAAUAUAUUCUUUAAUGGACUUAUCAUAUUGUUUUUUAUAUACACCAUUUUUUAUCAGUUAUUUUAUACUAAAUUAUUAUUAUUUAUUACUCCUCACUAUAUAUUGUUAUUGAUUUCAUAUUGCUUGCUGUCCAUAUUCUUUUAUAUAUAUAUAUGUAUUAUAUUUUAUUCAUACAUUUGUUUCUUUUAAAUUCCAUUUCAAAGUAUACCUCGGUCUUCAAAAUAUUUUCUUAUGUUAUUUUGCAUAUAUAUUCAAUUUAAAUUAUGCCUUUUACUUUAUAUGCAUAUCUUCUGAUCCUGUUAUGAUUUAGUCGUAUUAUAUUGUUGCAUUAGAUUAUUGUUAUAUAUUUCACAAUGGCAUUCCUGUUUCCUUAUAUGGUAUAACGACUCAAAUUUAAACUCACUUAAGCCAGUUCUUAGUUUUUUCGUUUUUUUCAAAAAAUAAAUUAAAUAAAUACAUUUUUUAAUUGACUUUAGAUCGUUUUCGAAAGUCUUAUAAAACAAGGCAAUGUUUUGCGUUUGGAAGUCCGAAAGAGUCAUGCCCUAACGUGCUGGGUUGUGGUUUUUUUCGGUCAUCUAAAUGUUUAAAUAUCCUUCUAGUCUCAGGUUUCGAAAAAUUAAGGGACUAUUUGGGUCUUGAGGGUUAAAAUGUUGCAUCCUAAUGUGCUGGGUGUGACAUUUUGUCCUUUUGGAACAAAUAAGCCUUAAUAUCCCAAAACGAACCGUUCAAAUAUUUUCUAAAAGAAUUAUAUUUUAAAAUCUCUUAAAAUUUUCAACAAUGACAUUAUUAAUCAAUUUGGUAUCGAUUUUGGGCGUUACGAGGGUGCUAAUCCUUCCUUGUACGUAAUUGAUUCCCGAACCUGUUUUCUUAACAUUCAUAGACCAAAAUGCUUUAUAAGGUGACCCAAUUAC